GUGGGGAAUAUUGGACAAUGGGCGCAAGCCUGAUCCAGCCAUGCCGCGUGAGUGAUGAAGGCCUUAGGGUUGUAAAGCUCUUUCGUCAGGGAAGAUAAUGACGGUACCUGAAGAAGAAGCCCCGACUAACUUCGUGCCAGCAGCCGCGGUAAUACGAAGGGGGCUAGCGUUGCUCGGCAUCACUGGGCGUAAAGCGCACGUAGGCGGCUUUCUAAGUCAGGGGUGAAAUCCUGGAGCUCAACUCCAGAACUGCCUUUGAUACUGGAGAGAUUGAGUUCGGGAGAGGGGAGUGGAACUGCGAGUGUAGAGGUGAAAUUCGUAGAUAUUCGCAAGAACACCAGUGGCGAAGGCGGCUCACUGGCCCGAUACUGACGCUGAGGUGCGAAAGCGUGGGGAGCAAACAGGAUUAGAUACCCGUGUAGUCC
Molecule: ribosomal RNA, 425 nt
Filed under: uncultured bacterium
Lineage: Bacteria
Description: partial 16S ribosomal RNA
Rfam family: Bacterial small subunit ribosomal RNA
Source: RNAcentral